Molecule: ribosomal RNA, 317 nt
Filed under: Hemiselmis rufescens
Lineage: Eukaryota; Cryptophyceae; Cryptomonadales; Hemiselmidaceae
Description: partial Eukaryotic large subunit ribosomal RNA
Source: RNAcentral
AAAAAAAAAAAAAAAAAAAAAAAUUUUUUUUUUUUUUUUUUUUUUUAAAGGAAUCCGUUGUAGUGAUCUUGGAUCUACGUUUGCAAAAACUUUUUAUCCUGGCGGUUCAUAACUUUAGAGUUAAUCUAUAUGAUAUUUUGUACUAUUUUAAUAGUCGAACUUUAUGUAGAAAUAAAUCUAUCGUAAUGUGACCAGAGACAAAGGUGGAAGCAGCUUACAAUGAAAUAAUUUGAUGGGCUAUAAAAUUUUUUUUUAAAAAAAAAGCAGACGGAAGGGCUUUAUUCGACCCGUCUUGUAACACGGACCAAGGAGUCCAG